Molecule: long non-coding RNA, 73 nt
Organism: Maniola jurtina (meadow brown)
Lineage: Eukaryota; Metazoa; Arthropoda; Insecta; Lepidoptera; Nymphalidae
Exons: 3
Source: RefSeq, a predicted model, not a curated record
UCUGUCCACAUAGUGGCAACACGAAGACCGUUUGAUAUAAAGUGUCAAUUUUAAUUUCCGAUAAACUCGGCGG